Molecule: long non-coding RNA, 577 nt
Filed under: Elaeis guineensis (African oil palm)
Lineage: Eukaryota; Viridiplantae; Streptophyta; Magnoliopsida; Arecales; Arecaceae
Description: long non-coding RNA (EGUI_LNC076918)
Source: RNAcentral
AGUAUUUCAUUGAUACACUCUCGUUGUUUGGGUUAGGUGUAACACCUUGCAGGCAUAAAAUGGAAUGAACCCUCACAUGUUGAGGACUUUCUGCGUAGUUUAUGAUUGAUUUUCAAAUAACUGCUUGCCCUGUGUUCCAAAAAUCCGACAAAUCUAUGAAAACUAGUAUUGCUCAGAAUAAUGACAACUGACAGGCAUAACAAAACAAAGAAAGUGAUAUCCACAAGAAAAAUGCGAAGCAAACCACCCAAUUCAUCUGCAAUUCUGAUUAGGCAAGCUUGUUAGAUGUUUGGAGCAGUAGCCCCUUUACAACAAUUCUUUGUAAUAUUAUAAAACAACCCAUCCAUAAAAAUUCAUUAUUUAAUCGACAUGUAAGCAUGCAAAUGACCGGACCGGAAAAGAUCGACACCUUUCAACAAGGUUGCACACUGCAACUAUUUUUCUGCGGAUAUUUUGUGAAACCAUGAAGGUGGAUGACUGUUCCUCUUCAACAACACCCACCCAAGGAUUCCAUACAUACAUAUAUAUAUAUAUAUAUAUAUAUAUAUAUAUAUAUAUAUAUAUAUAUAUAUAUAUA